RNAcentral lists this ribosomal RNA (1377 nucleotides) under uncultured bacterium. RNAcentral describes it as "16S ribosomal RNA". It matches the Rfam family "Bacterial small subunit ribosomal RNA", at positions 24 to 1399 of the family's 1533-position model. The record is from RNAcentral.
UCAGGAUGAACGCUAGCUACAGGCUUAACACAUGCAAGUCGAGGGGCAGCGCAGUGCAGCAAUGCACGGGCGGCGACCGGCGCACGGGUGCGUAACGCGUAUCCAACCUUCCCGUUACUCUUGGAUAGCCUUCCGAAAGGGAGAUUAAUACAGGAUGGUGUUCAAAUUCCGCAUGUUAUUUGAACUAAAGAUUUAUCGGUAACGGAUGGGGAUGCGUGACAUUAGGUAGAUGGCGGGGUAACGGCCCACCAUGCCUACGAUGUCUAGGGGUUCUGAGAGGAAGGUCCCCCACACUGGAACUGAGACACGGUCCAGACUCCUACGGGAGGCAGCAGUGAGGAAUAUUGGUCAAUGGUCGGAAGACUGAACCAGCCAAGUAGCGUGAAGGAUGAAGGUUCUAUGGAUUGUAAACUUCUUUUAUACGGGAAUAAAGCCCACUACGUGUAGUGGUUUGUAUGUACCGUAUGAAUAAGCAUCGGCUAACUCCGUGCCAGCAGCCGCGGUAAUACGGAGGAUGCGAGCGUUAUCCGGAUUUAUUGGGUUUAAAGGGAGCGUAGACGGGAUGUUAAGUCAGUUGUGAAAGGCUGCGGCUCAACCGCAGCACUGCAGUUGAUACUGGCGUCCUUGAGUGCGGUUGAGGUGUGUGGAAUUCGUGGUGUAGCGGUGAAAUGCUUAGAUAUCACGAAGAACUCCGAUUGCGAAGGCAGCGUACCAAUCCGUAACUGACGUUGAUGCUCGAAAGUGUGGGUAUCAAACAGGAUUAGAUACCCUGGUAGUCCACACGGUAAACGAUGGAUACUCGCUGUUGGCGAUACAAUGUCAGCGGCCAAGUGAAAACGUUAAGUAUCCCACCUGGGGAGUACGCCGGCAACGGUGAAACUCAAAGGAAUUGACGGGGGCCCGCACAAGCGGAGGAACAUGUGGUUUAAUUCGAUGAUACGCGAGGAACCUUACCCGGGCUCAAACGACAGGGGAAUAUGCGUGAAAGCGCAUAGCUAGCAAUAGUCGCUGUCGAGGUGCUGCAUGGUUGUCGUCAGCUCGUGCCGUGAGGUGUCGGCUUAAGUGCCAUAACGAGCGCAACCCCUGCCUUCAGUUGCUAACAGUUAAGCUGAGGACUCUGGAGGGACUGCCGGCGCAAGCCGUGAGGAAGGAUGGGAUGACGUCAAAUCAGCACGGCCCUUACGUCCGGGGCGACACACGUGUUACAAUGGUCGGCACAGCGGGAAGCCAUAUGGUGACAUAGAGCGGAACCCGAAAGCCGGUCUCAGUUCGGAUCGGAGUCUGCAACUCGACUCCGUGAAGCUGGAUUCGCUAGUAAUCGCGCAUCAGCCAUGGCGCGGUGAAUACGUUCCCGGGCCUUGCACUCACCGCCCGUCA